CUGGUUUGAAUCACAGCUCUGCCAUUUACAAUCUUUCUGGCUUGGGGCAAGUCACUUAACUUCUCUCAUCUUCAAUUGCUUCAUCUAAAAUCUGGACAUAAUAUGAUCCACCUCACAGAAUUUUUCCAAGAAUGACAUAUGAGAAUACUUAGCAAAAAGAACAGUAGCAAAGUAAAGAUACUCCAUAAUUGUUUUUAAUAUCAAGCUAGACAGAGUUCUGUUUUUCCUCUCUGGUCAUGGGAUAAAAAGCCUUGAGCACUUACGGUAACCCUUUCUCUUAACUAUCCUCCAAGAUUCUGGGGCCCAAACCCCAGAUUUACAUGUACACAAAUGAAAGGAUAUAGUAGUCAAACACCAAAUGCUUAAUUUCAAGAGAACAACACAACAGCAAUUUUUACCUAAAACCACCUCCAAUAACAACUCAGAGAAAUUCUCGAAUUCCACAGUUAGUAUUAAUUAUCUAUUAUUUAUUUUGACGGUUUCCAUUUACAGCAUAAAUUUACCUGAUAGAAGUAAUAUAUGAAUCUUAUCAGCCAUUUAUAUCUCAAUAGGAAUGACUUUAUGAUAUAAUUUUUCUGAGACCACAUAUAGCCACGAAGGAAACAUGAGGUACGUGAGGUCUCUGCAUGGUUCCUACAAGAAGAAUAGCCUAUAGGAAGGGGACUUGGAAGCUCUGGAAAGGUCAAAUUCUCUUGGUCCAGAUUUUGCAUCGAACAUAUCCCAUGUGGACAGGAAAUCUAGGACAGGAUCCUAAACUAGGAAAUAACUUUGCUGGGCAGACAGUCUUCUUAGUCUUGCACAGAAAAUUACUUCAAGGUUGCCAGCUUUCACAAAUAAAAAUGCAGGAUGCUCACUGAAAUGUGAAUGUCAGAUAAAGAAUAACUUUUUAUUUAAAUAUAACAUAAUUCUACUUUAUAGUGUACAUUACUCAUUGUUUAUCUGAGUUUUUAACUGAGUGUCCUGUAUUUCAUUAGGCAACCUACUUCACAUUCUUGAAAGGUCCAGGGGCAGUAGGACCCAGAAACUUUUCUAAGACUCAGAUGUCAGAUUACAAACAGAAUAAUAUGAUAGUCAAUAUUAUCACUGCGAAAGAAAGAUUGUAGGAUGAGAUUUACUAUUCAUGCAGAGAGAAGCAUCUCUGUGACCUUCCUGUUCCAAGAGAUGGAUGGUAUACUGAAGCUGUGUUUCUUUAUCCGUUUGUGCAUUCAUUUGUGCUGGAAAUAGUUCCUGGGCAAACACCACACUCCAGCACUGUGCUUGUUCCUGGGAAUAAAGCAGUGAACAAGACAAGUACUAUCUGUGCCCUAACAAAGCUCUCAGUCCAUUGGGGGCUAGACACUAAGCAGCAAUCCUCAUAUUUAAUACAAUACUAGCAACUAUUACAAGUGCUAUGAGCUAAGGCCAGAGAAGCAAAAUAUGCUACUUCAGCUGGCAUUUACUGAUCUUGUUCCAUGUAUAUGGCCCUGCACUGGGUAAUGUUAAGCAAAUAAAGAUGAGGAAAAUGUACUCCCUGCUUUCAAGGGCUUAUGAUUUAGUAAGGAAGACUUACAUGUAUAUGAGCAAACUAAGACCAAUUCUGAUAAAGUUCUAAUGAGGACACUCCUAUGUCCAUUUGCAGCAAGAAAUGCAGCUUCUUCUUUUUUUUUUUUUUUUGAGAUGGAGUUUGAUCUGUUG
RNAcentral lists this long non-coding RNA (1674 nucleotides) under Homo sapiens (human). Its description in RNAcentral is "non-protein coding lnc-ITGB8-13:1". The record is from RNAcentral. Lineage: Eukaryota; Metazoa; Chordata; Mammalia; Primates; Hominidae.